This 301-nucleotide ribosomal RNA is filed under the name uncultured bacterium. Its description in RNAcentral is "partial 16S ribosomal RNA". It matches the Rfam family "Bacterial small subunit ribosomal RNA", at positions 509 to 807 of the family's 1533-position model. The record is from RNAcentral.
CAGCCGCCACGGGAAUACAAAGGGUGCAAGCGUUACUCGGAAUUACUGGGCGUAAAGCGUGCGUAGGUGGUGGUUUAAGUCCGUUGUGAAAGCCCUGGGCUCAACCUGGGAAUUGCAGUGGAUACUGGGUCACUAGAGUGUGGUAGAGGAUAGUGGAAUUUCCGGUGUAGCAGUGAAAUGCGUAGAGAUCGGAAGGAACAUCUGUGGCGAAGGCGACUAUCUGGGCCAACACUGACACUGAGGCACGAAAGCGUGGGGAGCAAACAGGAUUAGAUACCCCCGUAGUCCCUGUCUCUUAUAC